UACCGUUUAUCUGCGGUUGCAGGCUUUGGUUGAUCACAAUCUUAUUGCCAUUUUGGAUCUAAUCUUGAGGCCCCACAAAGUAUGUGUUGCCUUCAAUUAUUUAAACAGAAAAGAGAUGGGGAAAAAGGCAAGACGGUCGGGGGUGCCACCCAAUGUCGCCAUUUGAAGAAUACGUCGCUCUAAAUACUGUGGAUAAGAGUGAGAUUGCAAAGAUGGGGUCCCACAUUGAUGACUGGAUGUAAGCUUGGAUCGGCAAGACGAAGGAAUCUACGGACGCUGCAGGUGAGGUGGUGGCUUGACUGGGGGGAUCGGGAUCUCUAAUCCUGUUCGAUGGGUUCGGGUUUCACCCAUUCCGAUCAAAGAACGCGCCAAAUCAGAUCAGGUUUGAAGCUUAUUACUCUGAUAUUAAACUAUGGUUUUCUUUCUUCUGCGUCCCAAUCAUCUCUUCGCAUCUUCUUUUGUUAUAUUCCGCUUGUUUUGUAGUCUUCAAAACUGCUCGAUAUGAGACGCCAUUUCUUCGUGUGCGCUUUCGCAUGGAAGUUCUUCCCUUGUUGGCGUCUUCUCGGUGGAUGGACUCCGGAUUCCAAGGUUGAUGUCCGCUGUCCGUCCCUUCAAGGAACUUGAUUGCUGUCGCUUUUGCUAGCUCGGUCGAUAGGCCUCGGCGGUGCUAGGAAAAGGCUGAUGAUGGUGGUGGUUGUAUUGCAUCUUCUAUUCUGGCAAAUCCUGACUUUUUGACGAGUUUUUUUCUCAACCUCUGUCGUCGACCUCCGUUCACAAGCUUCUGAUGGAAAAGUAAUCCGAUGGCAUGAGAAGUCUCUAUUUUAACUAUCUAUCCUGGCAUAAACAUCUGAUGCACCUAACACGAUUCAAAGUGUUUCCAGUUAUCGCCGGCGCCAGUUGAUGCGUCUUUACUCGGAUCAUGUCCCAGUGGGUCCAAGAACUGUGGCUAUAUAGUGAGAAGCACUAAUUGCUGCUCCCUGGCUGUCUGCGAACUGAUUAGAAAGCGCACCUACCGAGUUAUGUGGCUCCUUUGGACCCCUCGCCGGAAAAUUAUAAUAAUGAGGAUCGAUGGACCUCUUAGUUGGUCCCGACUAUCAUAAUCCUCGGGGAAAGCUUGCGGUGAUGGCCAGCGAGAUGGUCGAGGAGGGAAGGCCCAUGCGAUGCUUAUCCCGUGACACGAAUGCGAAGGGCGGGCCACAUCCAGUUCGAACUGCGGGAACUCGAGUGGGAAGGCAGCGUUAGUCUCUUUCCUUGGCCUAUUUCUCGAUGCCGCUCUUCUUUAGUCUCGAUCGCUGCAGGAGCUACGAGAAGCAUAUUCACGCUUGGCAAGUCCUUUUGUCGGGGACUCCAAACCUGUGUGCCAGUUUUUGGUAGCUGAAAUAGUUAGAUGCAUCACAUACUAUCUAAUUUCAGAUCAGAGAAAGCCAUGAAGUGGAUGGAAGCAUCGUUGGAUUGGUACUCUGUUCUCCUCAAAUGGUUUCUUUAGCCCAAAAGAAAAAGGUAUAUUACUAGACACCAUAAUUCUUGUGAGGGAAUAAUGGGUCGGCCUUCAACCGGGUCUGGUCCUGGGCCAUAACCGGUUCAGCCCAGACCACUUGUCAUUCAUUUCUUUUCUCUCUUCUUUGACUAGACCAAUUGACGUACAAGUUGGAUUGUCUCUCGGAUCUCAAGAAACCAAAAUUAAUUGAGGAGGAGGAAGACACUCUCUGAAAAUGCACUACACUCGACUUUGCCUUUAGCAAGCUGCAAAUGCAACACCAUCUGCUACAUCUGCUGAUGUCGUCGCAUUCAUGGAGAGCUGAUGGCCAAAUCACAUUAAUUUAAUAUAAAUAAAGAACAUGAUUCUUCUUCUAAAUUUAUGGAACUUACUCUUAUCAAAAGAUACCACGAGCCUCAAUCCAAUAUAAAUAUUAUACCACUUCUGAUGGGGAGGGGAGGAGCGGCGUGCUGGUUCACUACUUCAUGUAGUCGAUCCGGACGCCGUCCACGGUGGUGUUGACCCCCGUGCCGCCUCUUGGCACCAGUGUCACCCAGAUGCUGUCAUCUUCGUCUGCCUCGAGGUCUUCCAAAAGUUCCGAUAUACCGAGCUUAAGGUGGCUUUUCAUCUUCGAAUCCAUGCCGCCAUCGUCAUGGCUUUUCGUCCUCGAGACGUGGUGGAGAUUGACGAAGGUCCCUGCGAACUCCCUCGACUUUGGGCUCAGCACGGUUUCGUCGACGACGUUGAUGAACACAUCGAAUUUGACGAAUCUGCUUCUCUUAGUAUCGAUUCCGUAGACCAAUAAGAUCUCCUCUUCUUCCUCUUUUUCUUGCCCUGUCCUGUUGAUCCUUGGCCUGUCAACCCUCACGGUGAUGGUCUUGUCCAGUGUCCAGCUACCAUAUUCGGAGAGUUGUGAACGAUCCGUUUCGCCGGGCAUUCUCAGUACGCCUUCGCCAUUGCGCUUCUUCAAUAUGUCGCGCGCGAUCUUAGGGUGAACGGAAGGCUUGGGACGUGCAGCGAGCCAUGGCAUGUCGAUGUCUUCGUACCGGUACCUGAGUUUGUCUAUGUUCAACACGUCGCGCACCUUGAUCCUGCGCAGGCGCACAUUCUCGUCGUAGAAGGUGAACUCCGACUCGAGCCACUCCUGGUCGACGAACUCCGGCUUGUCGCCGUGCAGCUUCUUCCACACGGUCCACAUGCGGUCGAUGUUGGAGUGGUGCGCGAAGAACACUUCGUCUCGCGCGGCGGAGUAGAACGCCCCCAUGUUCUCUCUUUCGGGGUUGUACCUGUUCCCUACCCAGCUGUGCAACGUGUUGUGAGGUGCCGCUUCGAUCGUCCCGGGCCCAUCACACCACCCCUCGACGCCGGACCGCAGCUUGCAACCCAUGAACAGCUCGGUCUUCUUCGCUCCCGAGAUCAUCUGGUGGUACAUGAACGCGAGGUUGUCGGCGAUCUGCACGUCGCUGGCGAGGUCAUGAUCCACGUAGUCGAAGUCAUCGACGGCGGCCUCCCGUAGGUGAAUGGCGUCGCGCUCCGUCUCAUUCAGAGCUCCCUUCCGGUAGAUGUCGGGGAACCACAUGCCCUCGGGGGUGUCCCAGCUCCAGUAGGGGAGCGCGAAGGUGUCGUCUCCCAUGAACUUCCCGAGGAUGCGCUCGUGGAAAUAGAUGAAGGCUCGGUGCCAGGGGAAGAAGAGCCAUGACCUGUGGAUCUUGAAGAGGGCAGAGGAGUUCAUCUGGUCGUAGGCGCCGGUGCAGUAGAGGCAGUGCAUGUUGGCCUGGCGCCAAAAGUUGUGGGGAUGGUCAGGCGGGAUCUGCUUCAUGAUGGCCACCGCCCUCUCAUACUUGGCCACGAACUCCUCGUCGACGAGAUGGGCAGGCCGUCGGAUACGCACCGGCGACGACGGAUCCGGGAACUCGAAGUCGAGCAAGGUUUGGUCGGCGUCUUUCCAGGCCGGGCAACAGUAGACCGGACGAUCGGCGUCCGAGAAUGAAGCAUGGCAAACCGAUAGGUUUGCUUUGAGGGGAAUGCCCUUGCUCUUGCUUCCAUCUCUCUGUUCUCCGCCUUGAGGAUUCACUGGUAUUCUGCAAGUUCAAACUCCAUUUCAGCAUUUUGGAUCCGAGAUCGUUGCAAAUCAAAGAGAAUAUAUAGCAUUUCACCCCACAUAUAUAGGAUUCACAUUAUUCGAUUACAUUAUACCUUGUUUCUUCAGCUAAAUACGAACUAAGAACACAAGGAACUGAACCACCAACGUAUGAUGGGGAAAUUCUUUUUCUUUAUUUUUCCCUUAAGAAAGCCAUACUUGUCACGCCAUGGAUCCCACAUCCGUUACUGCUCCG
RNAcentral lists this long non-coding RNA (3813 nucleotides) under Musa acuminata (dwarf banana). RNAcentral describes it as "long non-coding RNA (MACU_LNC006135)". Lineage: Eukaryota; Viridiplantae; Streptophyta; Magnoliopsida; Zingiberales; Musaceae. The record is from RNAcentral.